Molecule: non-coding RNA, 1182 nt
Organism: Odocoileus virginianus texanus
Lineage: Eukaryota; Metazoa; Chordata; Mammalia; Artiodactyla; Cervidae
Source: RefSeq, a predicted model, not a curated record
CACCCUUGGUCAUGGCAUUACACGGCAGAGAGGCGCUUCCUGGCCCCGUAAGGCGGGGCUUGGCCACGUGACUGGCUUUGGCCAAUGGGAUGUUACUAACCAUGCGGUACAGAGAUGCUUCACAUGCGCUUGCGUGCGCAGGCGUCUUUCCCGCUCAUCCGCCAUCAGCACCGGAAGAACGCACCCUGGACAGACGAAAGAACACCGUUAAGAAGGGAAGAUGCCAUGAAUUUGGACCCCUCGCAGGUGGGGGACCUUCGGCACAGCGACGCAUCUGAGAGGUGAGGAGACAAAAGAGGCAGACACCAUUUUCCCAGCUGUGGAUCUUAUUACUCAGGCGACUGCUUGUUGGACUGCCUGAACACCCUGUCCUGCCCUCACAGGGCCUUGGAGAUGAAAAAGACUGCUAGCGGCAACGUGGAAGGACCUAGAGACGAUCAUACUAAGUGAACAGCUCGCCCUGUAUAUCCUCCGAGGGGAGACGAUUGCUCUCCCGCAUCAGCACAAAAGCCCGGCACGGCCGCUUGUCACCGGAAAACUGCCCCCCGGCCCUCACCUGACCACCGCGCCCCCCGCCGUGGCCACUGUCGCGCACGGAACACCCGCGUCUCCAGCCCUGGUGCCUCCGGUUCACAGCGGACGAUUUCUUCCUCUCGUGUUUUCUUCAGACGGCAUUCGGAAAGCCACCAUUUUAAAGCGGAAUUGCAUACUGAUUUUUCUCACAGCUACUUCACGGGUUUCAGUCUCCCCUCUGAAAACCUCUAAAGGGCUCCCACCGGGUAAGGAGGACCUGUGAGCCCUCUCUGUGGCCUGGCCUGCUUUCUUCAAGUCCCAGAAACUUUCAAGGCUUCUUGUAACUAAUUUUCCAAACUGCUCCUACUCUCCAUCGGAUGAUGUCAAGGUGGUUUCAAGAACACUGAUAAAUAUGUGAGCAGCGCGCCUUGGCUGCUAACUAAAUUCUCUCUUAAUCACAAAGCGAAAGACCAAAUCGAUAUAAUUUCUAGGGAGAAUAAAACAGACCGUGAAAGGUUAGUGUUCAGCCUUGCUUAGAAACGGAGGCAAUUAUUUUCCUUCUGUAUUGUCUGUGCAAGAACGCAUGUGUGGCUGUGGUCUCGGGUGCCCAUCGCCGUACCCCUCGAGGGGACCCCGAGAGCAGUUCCGGAAACCCCCCAAGCCACACCA